AAUCAACGCUGGCGGCGUGCCUAACACAUGCAAGUCGAACGCGAAAGGGGAGCAAUCCCUGAGUAGAGUGGCAAACGGGUGAGUAACACGUGGGUGACCUGCCUUCGAGUGGGGGAUAACGUCCCGAAAGGGACGCUAAUACCGCAUGACAUCCUGCUUUUGGAAAAGCGGAGAUCAAAGCUGGGGAUCGCAAGACCUAGCGCUUGGAAGAGGGGCCCGCGCCUGAUUAGCAGUUGGUGAGGUAAUGGCUCACCAAGGCUACGAUCAGUAUCCGGCCUGAGAGGGCGGACGGACACACUGGGACUGAGACACGGCCCAGACUCCUACGGGAGGCAGCAGUGGGGAAUCUUGCGCAAUGGGCGAAAGCCUGACGCAGCGACGCCGCGUGAGGGAUGACGGCC
Molecule: ribosomal RNA, 401 nt
Filed under: uncultured bacterium
Lineage: Bacteria
Description: bacterial SSU rRNA
Rfam family: Bacterial small subunit ribosomal RNA
Source: RNAcentral